UACGUAGGGGGCUAGCGUUGUCCGGAAUCAUUGGGCGUAAAGAGCGUGUAGGCGGCUCGGUAAGUCCGCUGUGAAAGUCCAGGGCUCAACCCUGGAAUGCCAGUGGAAACUGUCGAGCUAGAGUCCGGAAGAGGCGAGUGGAAUUCCUGGUGUAGCGGUGAAAUGCGCAGAUAUCAGGAGGAACACCAAUGGCGAAGGCAGCUCGCUGGGACGGUACUGACGCUGAGACGCGAAAGCGUAGGGAGCAAACAGG
This 253-nucleotide ribosomal RNA is filed under the name uncultured bacterium. RNAcentral describes it as "partial 16S ribosomal RNA". It matches the Rfam family "Bacterial small subunit ribosomal RNA", at positions 524 to 776 of the family's 1533-position model. The record is from RNAcentral.